CCUACGGGCGGCUGCAGUGGGGAAUAUUGGACAAUGGGGGGAACCCUGAUCCAGCCAUGCCGCGUGUGUGAAGAAGGCCCUCGGGUUGUAAAGCACUUUCAGUGAGGAAGAACGCCUGGUGGUUAAUACCCAUCAGGAAAGACAUCACUCACAGAAGAAGCACCGGCUAACUCCGUGCCAGCAGCCGCGGUAAUACGGAGGGUGCGAGCGUUAAUCGGAAUUACUGGGCGUAAAGCGCGCGUAGGUGGCUUGAUAAGCCGGUUGUGAAAGCCCCGGGCUCAACCUGGGAACGGCAUCCGGAACUGUCAAGCUAGAGUGCAGGAGAGGAAGGUAGAAUUCCCGGUGUAGCGGUGAAAUGCGUAGAGAUCGGGAGGAACACCAGUGGCGAAGGCGGCCUUCUGGACUGACACUGACACUGAGGUGCGAAAGCGUGGGUAGCAAACAGGAUUAGAUACCCGAGUAGUC
RNAcentral lists this ribosomal RNA (465 nucleotides) under Vreelandella stevensii. Its description in RNAcentral is "partial 16S ribosomal RNA". It matches the Rfam family "Bacterial small subunit ribosomal RNA", at positions 338 to 795 of the family's 1533-position model. The record is from RNAcentral. Lineage: Bacteria; Pseudomonadati; Pseudomonadota; Gammaproteobacteria; Oceanospirillales; Halomonadaceae.